This 211-nucleotide non-coding RNA is filed under the name Eubacterium sp. RNAcentral describes it as "T-box sequence". It matches the Rfam family "T-box leader". Rfam says of the family: Uncharged tRNA acts as the effector for transcription antitermination of genes in the T-box leader family. T-boxes are found upstream of many aminoacyl-tRNA synthetase genes and some amino acid biosynthetic genes usually in Gram-positive bacteria. The anticodon of a specific tRNA base pairs to a specifier sequence within the T-box motif, and the NCCA acceptor tail of the tRNA base pairs to a conserved bulge in the T-box antiterminator hairpin. The record is from RNAcentral. Lineage: Bacteria; Bacillati; Bacillota; Clostridia; Eubacteriales; Eubacteriaceae.
AAGAAAACGUCGAUAAGGAUAAGUAAUAGAGUCUUUGAGCAAAGAGAGAUAACGGCUGGUGUGAGUUAUUGUCAAAGCUUUAUGAAAUCAACCUUGGAGUGAAGUAGUGAAUAAAGUAGUUACUUCCGGUAGUACCGUUAUCACUUGAGAGGAUUCAUAGUGUGAUGCUAUGAAUUAAAAAAGGGUGGCAACACGAGGUAUCGUCCCUUUC